UUACCUGCAACAUGACAGACUAAUGUCUACAUGAAAGAUGUCUUUUGUUCACCUCAUUAUUCAGGCAACCAUCCAUGCGCUUUCAGCUGUCCAUGAAUGUUGACGGACAAAGCCACAGAAAUGUACGGCAGUGGGCUGCAGUAUGACUGGAGUGAGAGGCAGCUGAUGUCCUAUGCCAUGGAACUGCUCAUAUACACGGAGAAACUCAGAAAAGCUCUGGACUCAUCUGAAUUUUUGAAGAGGCUGUAGUAUUGUGUUGACAUUUUUUUGGAAGGUAUUUGUAAGGCCAAUAAAAGUUGCUGCUGGUUGUUUCA
Non-coding RNA from Nothobranchius furzeri (turquoise killifish), 314 nucleotides. NCBI's taxonomy places the organism in Eukaryota, Metazoa, Chordata, Actinopteri, Cyprinodontiformes, Nothobranchiidae. The record is from RefSeq and is a predicted model, not a curated record.